Molecule: ribosomal RNA, 1542 nt
Filed under: Escherichia coli
Lineage: Bacteria; Pseudomonadati; Pseudomonadota; Gammaproteobacteria; Enterobacterales; Enterobacteriaceae
Description: bacterial SSU rRNA
Rfam family: Bacterial small subunit ribosomal RNA
Source: RNAcentral
AAAUUGAAGAGUUUGAUCAUGGCUCAGAUUGAACGCUGGCGGCAGGCCUAACACAUGCAAGUCGAACGGUAACAGGAAGAAGCUUGCUUCUUUGCUGACGAGUGGCGGACGGGUGAGUAAUGUCUGGGAAACUGCCUGAUGGAGGGGGAUAACUACUGGAAACGGUAGCUAAUACCGCAUAACGUCGCAAGACCAAAGAGGGGGACCUUCGGGCCUCUUGCCAUCAGAUGUGCCCAGAUGGGAUUAGCUUGUUGGUGGGGUAACGGCUCACCAAGGCGACGAUCCCUAGCUGGUCUGAGAGGAUGACCAGCCACACUGGAACUGAGACACGGUCCAGACUCCUACGGGAGGCAGCAGUGGGGAAUAUUGCACAAUGGGCGCAAGCCUGAUGCAGCCAUGCCGCGUGUAUGAAGAAGGCCUUCGGGUUGUAAAGUACUUUCAGCGGGGAGGAAGGGAGUAAAGUUAAUACCUUUGCUCAUUGACGUUACCCGCAGAAGAAGCACCGGCUAACUCCGUGCCAGCAGCCGCGGUAAUACGGAGGGUGCAAGCGUUAAUCGGAAUUACUGGGCGUAAAGCGCACGCAGGCGGUUUGUUAAGUCAGAUGUGAAAUCCCCGGGCUCAACCUGGGAACUGCAUCUGAUACUGGCAAGCUUGAGUCUCGUAGAGGGGGGUAGAAUUCCAGGUGUAGCGGUGAAAUGCGUAGAGAUCUGGAGGAAUACCGGUGGCGAAGGCGGCCCCCUGGACGAAGACUGACGCUCAGGUGCGAAAGCGUGGGGAGCAAACAGGAUUAGAUACCCUGGUAGUCCACGCCGUAAACGAUGUCGACUUGGAGGUUGUGCCCUUGAGGCGUGGCUUCCGGAGCUAACGCGUUAAGUCGACCGCCUGGGGAGUACGGCCGCAAGGUUAAAACUCAAAUGAAUUGACGGGGGCCCGCACAAGCGGUGGAGCAUGUGGUUUAAUUCGAUGCAACGCGAAGAACCUUACCUGGUCUUGACAUCCACGGAAGUUUUCAGAGAUGAGAAUGUGCCUUCGGGAACCGUGAGACAGGUGCUGCAUGGCUGUCGUCAGCUCGUGUUGUGAAAUGUUGGGUUAAGUCCCGCAACGAGCGCAACCCUUAUCCUUUGUUGCCAGCGGUCCGGCCGGGAACUCAAAGGAGACUGCCAGUGAUAAACUGGAGGAAGGUGGGGAUGACGUCAAGUCAUCAUGGCCCUUACGACCAGGGCUACACACGUGCUACAAUGGCGCAUACAAAGAGAAGCGACCUCGCGAGAGCAAGCGGACCUCAUAAAGUGCGUCGUAGUCCGGAUUGGAGUCUGCAACUCGACUCCAUGAAGUCGGAAUCGCUAGUAAUCGUGGAUCAGAAUGCCACGGUGAAUACGUUCCCGGGCCUUGUACACACCGCCCGUCACACCAUGGGAGUGGGUUGCAAAAGAAGUAGGUAGCUUAACCUUCGGGAGGGCGCUUACCACUUUGUGAUUCAUGACUGGGGUGAAGUCGUAACAAGGUAACCGUAGGGGAACCUGCGGUUGGAUCACCUCCUUA